This 497-nucleotide ribosomal RNA is filed under the name uncultured bacterium. RNAcentral describes it as "partial 16S ribosomal RNA". It matches the Rfam family "Bacterial small subunit ribosomal RNA", at positions 36 to 507 of the family's 1533-position model. The record is from RNAcentral.
UCUUCCCUCUUUCUUCGUGCCUAAUACAUGCAAGUCGAGCGAACAGACGAGGAGCUUGCUCCUCUGACGUUAGCGGCGGACGGGUGAGUAACACGUGGAUAACCUACCUAUAAGACUGGGAUAACUUCGGGAAACCGGAGCUAAUACCGGAUAACAUGUUGAACCGCAUGGUUCAACAGUGAAAGACGGUCUUGCUGUCACUUAUAGAUGGAUCCGCGCCGCAUUAGCUAGUUGGUAAGGUAACGGCUUACCAAGGCAACGAUGCGUAGCCGACCUGAGAGGGUGAUCGGCCACGCUGGAACUGAGACACGGUCCAGACUCCUACGGGAGGCAGCAGUAGGGAAUCUUCCGCAAUGGGCGAAAGCCUGACGGAGCAACGCCGCGUGAGUGAUGAAGGUCUUCGGAUCGUAAAACUCUGUUAUUAGGGAAGAACAAAUGUGUAAGUAACUAUGCACGUCUUGACGGUACCUAAUCAGAAAGCCACGGCUAACUACGUG